RNAcentral lists this ribosomal RNA (468 nucleotides) under uncultured bacterium. RNAcentral's name for it is "partial 16S ribosomal RNA". It matches the Rfam family "Bacterial small subunit ribosomal RNA", at positions 28 to 507 of the family's 1533-position model. The record is from RNAcentral.
GACGAACGCUGGCGGCGUGCUUAACACAUGCAAGUCGAACGGAAAGGCCCUGCGUUUGUGGGGUGCUCGAGUGGCGAACGGGUGAGUAACACGUGAGUAACCUGCCCUUGACUUUGGGAUAACUUCAGGAAACUGGGGCUAAUACCGGAUAGGAGCUCCUGCUGCAUGGUGGGGGUUGGAAAGUUUCGGCGGUUGGGGAUGGACUCGCGGCUUAUCAGCUUGUUGGUGGGGUAGUGGCUUACCAAGGCUUUGACGGGUAGCCGGCCUGAGAGGGUGACCGGCCACAUUGGGACUGAGAUACGGCCCAGACUCCUACGGGAGGCAGCAGUGGGGAAUAUUGCACAAUGGGCGGAAGCCUGAUGCAGCAACGCCGCGUGCGGGAUGACGGCCUUCGGGUUGUAAACCGCUUUCGCCUGUGACGAAGAGUGAGUGACGGUAAUGGGUAAAGAAGCACCGGCUAACUACGUG